Molecule: ribosomal RNA, 537 nt
Filed under: uncultured bacterium
Lineage: Bacteria
Description: bacterial LSU rRNA
Rfam family: Bacterial large subunit ribosomal RNA
Source: RNAcentral
UAGCGAAAUUCCUUGUCGGGUAAGUUCCGACCUGCACGAAUGGCGUAACGAUGGCCACACUGUCUCCUCCUGAGACUCAGCGAAGUUGAAGUGGUUGUGAAGAUGCAAUCUCCCCGCGGUUAGACGGAAAGACCCCAUGAACCUUUACUGUAGCUUUGCAUUGGACUUUGAACCGACUUGUGUAGGAUAGGUGGGAGGCUGUGAAUCCGGGACGCUAGUUCUGGUGGAGCCAACCUUGAAAUACCACCCCUGGUUUGUUUGAGGUUCUAACCACGGCCCGUGAAUCCGGGUCUGGGACCGUGCAUGGUAGGCAGUUUGACUGGGGCGGUCUCCUCCUAAAGUGUAACGGAGGAGUACGAAGGUACGCUAGGUACGGUCGGAAAUCGUGCUGAUAGUGCAAUGGCAAAAGCGUGCUUGACUGCGAGACCCACACGUCGAGCAGGUACGAAAGUAGGUACAUAGUGAUCCGGUGGUUCUGUAUGGAAGGGCCAUCGCUCAACGGAUAAAAGGUACUCUGGGGAUAACAGGCUUAUACCG